AGAGUUUGAUCCUGGCUCAGAGCGAACGCUGGCGGCACGCCUAACACAUGCAAGUCGAGCGAGAAAGUGACUUCGGUCGCGAGUAAAGCGGCGAACGGGUGAGUACAACGUGGAUAAUCUACCCUAAGGUCUGGGACAACCCCGAGAAAUCGGGGCUAAUACCGGAUAAGACCACAGUAUCCAAGGAUACAGUGGUAAAAGAUUUAUCGCCUUUGGAUGAGUCCACGCCCCAUCAGGUAGUUGGUAAGGUAAAGGCUUACCAAGCCUAAGACGGGUAGCCGGCCUUAGCGGGUGAACGGCCACAUGGGGACUGAGACACGGCCCUGACUCCUACGGGAGGCAGCAGUGGGGAAUAUUGGGCAAUGGGCGAAAGCCUGACCCAGCGAUGCCGCGUGAGGGAUGAAGGCCUUCGGGUUGUAAACCUCUGUCAGGAGGGACGAUGGGACUUUGUCUUGACGGUACCUCCAGAGGAAGCCCCGGCUAACUCCGUGCCAGCAGCCGCGGUAAUACGGAGGGGGCAAGCGUUGCUCGGAAUUACUGGGCGUAAAGGGUCCGCAGGCUGUCAGGCAAGUUGGUUGUGAAAUCCCAAGGCUUAACCUUGGAAUUGCAUCCAAAACUGCCUGACUAGAGUCCAAGAGAGGUUGGCGGAAUUCCCGGUGGUAGCCGGUGAAAUGCAUAGAUAUCGGAGGAACACCA
This 696-nucleotide ribosomal RNA is filed under the name uncultured bacterium. Its description in RNAcentral is "bacterial SSU rRNA". It matches the Rfam family "Bacterial small subunit ribosomal RNA", at positions 8 to 711 of the family's 1533-position model. The record is from RNAcentral.